GAUGAAGAACGCAGCGAAAUGCGAUACGUAAUGUGAAUUGCAGAAUUCAGUGAAUCAUCGAAUCUUUGAACGCAUAUUGCGCUCUCUGGUAUUCCGGAGAGCAUGCUUGUUUGAGUAUCAGAAAACACCUCAACUUCCAUAUCUUUUUUGAAAUGGGAGUUGGACUUGAGUGAUCCCAACGCUUUUCCUCACCGAAAAGUGGCGGGUUACUUGAAAUGCAGGUGCAGCUGGACUUUUCUCUGAGCUAUAAGCAUAUCUAUUUAGUCUGCCUAAAAAACAGAUUAUUACCUUUGCUGCAGCUAACAUAAAGGAGAUUAGUUCUUGUGCUGACUGAUGCAGGAUUCACAAAGACAGGCUUCGGCCGACUUUGUAAACUCGAUCUCAAAUCAAGUAAGACUACCCGCUGAACUUAAGCAUAUCAAUAAGCGGAGGA
This 433-nucleotide unclassified non-coding RNA is filed under the name soil metagenome. RNAcentral's name for it is "partial contains 5.8S ribosomal RNA, internal transcribed spacer 2, and large subunit ribosomal RNA". The stretch from base 1 to 120 matches the Rfam family "5.8S ribosomal RNA", at positions 35 to 154 of the family's 154-position model. The record is from RNAcentral.